AGAGUGAACGCUGGCGGUAGGCCUAACACAUGCAAGUCGAACGGCAGCACAGUGGUAGCAAUACCAUGGGUGGCGAGUGGCGGACGGGUGAGGAAUACAUCGGAAUCUACCUUUUCGUGGGGGAUAACGUAGGGAAACUUACGCUAAUACCGCAUACGCCCUUCGGGGGAAAGCCGGGGAUCGCAAGACCUGGCGCGGAUAGAUGAGCCGAUGUAGGAUUAGCUAGUUGGUGAGGUAAUGGCUCACAAGGCGACGAUCCGUAGCUGGUCUGAGAGGAUGAUCACGCCCCAUGGAACUGAGACCACGGUCCAGACCUCCGUAGGGAGCAGCGAGGUGGGAAUGUGAACAG
This 349-nucleotide ribosomal RNA is filed under the name uncultured soil bacterium. Its description in RNAcentral is "bacterial SSU rRNA". It matches the Rfam family "Bacterial small subunit ribosomal RNA", at positions 26 to 371 of the family's 1533-position model. The record is from RNAcentral.